GAGACUCCAGACACCUCCUUGUGGCAUCAGACAUAGCCCUCAUUCCUACCACUGCAACAAAAUGCAAGUUAGAGAAGGAACGACACCCAAUUGCUGAACAGCACAAUACACAAAAAAGGACUACAUAAGCGAAACGAUAGCACUUACUCUUUUCUCUCUUCUCUCUUUCUCCCAUCUUGUAUUCUCGGCCUCGGUGAUCAAGCCAGCCUUGAAUAAGUUGUCAAAGCUUAAAAGGGUCUUGAAAUAACAACCGUCUUCGGCAAUUUUACCCCGCACCUGUUCGAUCGCCACCACGUCUCUUCGACACGCUCGAUUGCUUCAAGAAGAUUGGCAAAGAAAGCAAACAUAGGUUAGCUUCGGCAAUCAAAGCAUUAUCUAUAUACAAUCGGCACACAAAUGCUAUUAUUUUUUUAUUAUUUUUUUUAAAAAGGACAAACUACCGAAAGGCAUCCUACAGCUUACCGAUUAUCUAGAAAGUCAUAGGGAUAUGCCUCUCAACAGUUACACCCAGUGCCAAUUCUCAAGCUCCGAACACCAGCACCCGCAGCCGAUACCAAGUCUUUUGAGAGCUCGGCACACCGACCAUAAAGUCUUUUGAGAUGACGUUCUCGAAUUCCCCGCUAGGAUAUUUGCUGGGACUCGUGUCAACCACGAAAGGCACUCCCACAAGUCCCACAUUGAAACUAAGUACCAAAAGAACACCCAGCACCCUCUAUAAAUAGAGCAUCUCGCCCCAGAUACAGGGUAAGACUUUCAACUUGACUCACAUGCUCUUGGAUUUUCAAUAGUUUGCUCUCCUCUUAAACAAACUUUAGAAUUAGAGAGCCUUCGGCAAUACCAUACCGGUGUCUUAGGUCUCAUAUGUUGUUUUCUCUCUUUGGCCCAGAUCCUGCAUCUCCAACAUAAGAGGAAUGUGCUUGCCAAAGGCACAUUUGGUCCCUCGACCGUCCAAGUCACCUGUAAGUUGCUCUCAUCACUAUCUUUUUAGUUUUAGUGUCGACAAUUUCUAUUGCUU
RNAcentral lists this long non-coding RNA (1015 nucleotides) under Prunus persica (peach). Its description in RNAcentral is "long non-coding RNA (PPER_LNC007215)". Lineage: Eukaryota; Viridiplantae; Streptophyta; Magnoliopsida; Rosales; Rosaceae. The record is from RNAcentral.